CCUGGAGUAGAGAAGUGCAUCUCCAACCAGUUCAGCUUCAACACAAACCAUGUUCUCUGAAACUCUGAUGCUGCUGCUGGCAGCUGCAUCCUGUGUUCACUGUGAAGAACUCACUCAGCCAGCCUCUAUGACUGUCCAGCCAGGUCAAUCACUGACCAUCUCCUGUAAGGUCUCAUAUUCUGUUACUAGCUAUUGGACAGCUUGGAUCCGACAGCCUGCAGGGAAAACACUGGAGUGGAUUGGGCAAAUAUAUACUGGAAACACAAUCUACAAGGAUUCACUGAAAAACAAGUUCAGCCUCACUUUAGACUCCUCUAACAAGAUAGUGACUCUAACAGGGCAGAACCUGCAGACUGAAGACACAGCUGUGUAUUAUUGUUCCCGAGACUCACAGUGA
Molecule: non-coding RNA, 397 nt
Organism: Salvelinus fontinalis (brook trout)
Lineage: Eukaryota; Metazoa; Chordata; Actinopteri; Salmoniformes; Salmonidae
Source: the annotation of a RefSeq genome assembly